AGUGAACGCUGGCGGUAGGCCUAACACAUGCAAGUCGAACGGCAGCACAGUAAGAGCUUGCUCUUACGGGUGGCGAGUGGCGGACGGGUGAGGAAUACAUCGGAAUCUACUUUUUCGUGGGGGAUAACGUAGGGAAACUUACGCUAAUACCGCAUACGACCUACGGGUGAAAGCAGGGGAUCUUCGGACCUUGCGCGAUUGAACGAGCCGAUGUCGGAUUAGCUAGUUGGCGGGGUAAAGGCCCACCAAGGCGACGAUCCGUAGCCGGUCUGAGAGGAUGAUCAGCCACACUGGAACUGAGACACGGUCCAGACUCCUACGGGAGGCAGCAGUGGGGAAUAUUGGACAAUGGGCGCAAGCCUGAUCCAGCCAUACCGCGUGGGUGAAGAAGGCCUUCGGGUUGUAAAGCCCUUUUGUUGGGAAAGAAAAGCAGCAGGUUAAUACCCCGCUGUUCUGACGGUACCCAAAGAAUAAGCACCGGCUAACUUCGUG
RNAcentral lists this ribosomal RNA (492 nucleotides) under uncultured bacterium. Its description in RNAcentral is "partial 16S ribosomal RNA". It matches the Rfam family "Bacterial small subunit ribosomal RNA", at positions 29 to 507 of the family's 1533-position model. The record is from RNAcentral.